UCACCUGUCCCAUCUGCAUGAACUACUUCCUAGACCCAGUCACCAUAGACUGUGGGCACAGCUUUUGCCGGCCCUGUUUCUACCUCAACUGGCAAGACAUGGCAGUUGUUGCUCAGUGCUCUAAAUGCAAGGAGACAACAUGGCAGAGAAACCUCAACACUGACAUUUGUUUGAAGAACAUGGCUUCCAUUGCCAGAAAAGCCAGCCUCCGGCAAUUCCUUAGCUCUGAAGAGCAAAUAUGUGGGAUGCACAGAGAGACAAAGAAGAUGUUCUGUGAAGUGGACAAGAGCCUGCUCUGUUUGCUGUAUUCCAACUCUCAGGAGCACCGGAAUCACAGACACUGUCCCAUUGAGUGGGCUGCUGAGGAACGCCGGGAGGAGCUCCUAAAAAAAAAUGCAGUCUUUGUGGGAAAAAGCUUGUGAAAAUCUCAGAAACCUGAACAUGGAAACCACCAGAACAAGAUGCUGGAAGGAUUAUGUGAGUUUAAGGAUAGAAGCAAUCAGAGCUGAAUAUCAGAAGAUGCCUGCAUUUCUCCAUGAAGAAAAACAACAACAUUUGGAGAGGCUGUGAAAGGAGGGCGAGGACAUUUUUCAGCAACUCAAUGAAAGCAAAGCCAGAAUGGAACAUUCCAGGGAGCUUUUAAGAGGAAUGUAUGAGGAUCUGAAGAAAAUGUGCCAUAAAGCAGAUGUGGAGCUACUCUAGUACGAACUGACCAUGGGGUAUCAUGAUGAUGAAGAUUCACGUGCAUGGGUGUUU
RNAcentral lists this long non-coding RNA (756 nucleotides) under Homo sapiens (human). RNAcentral describes it as "novel transcript". The record is from RNAcentral. Lineage: Eukaryota; Metazoa; Chordata; Mammalia; Primates; Hominidae.